UUUUCAGCAAUUAACUAGUGAUUAUCAACUACUUUUAAUUAUUAUCAACUUAGCCAAACAGGCAAAGAAAAAUGAAUUACAACAAGUUUAAGACAAUUCCCACGCUAUAUAUUUUUUAAAAAUUCCAACUAUAUACUAGUUGAAGGGACUUAAAAAACUCGAAAUUAAUAAAUAUGUGGUUCCCUAAUAAUGGUUGUGGCUGAUCUAGGACACAAGCUAUAGAUUCAUGGAAAUCACUAACUUUUAUUCAAAUUCUAUAAAUAUAUUAAGAAAUUUAUUAAAUAUUUAUAAAUAUUUAUCUUUUGAACUCAGUUAUUUAUUAUGCAUUAACUUGAGUUGUUGUAAAACUCAUACUAAACUUCAAAUUCUUGAUUCAUCUCUGCUUGCUGGUGGUAAGAAAGAGCUACCUCGAGAGCUAAGUGUGGUUGCAGUUCUGGAGAUACAACAACUUAUCCAUUUACUCGAAUGCUUCAAUCCACGGAAAAAAUGAGCAAAAAUUCGCCUCUUGAUUCUUCCUCUAAUUGACGGAACCCUCAGUACAGUAGUUUUCGUCUUUCUUCUUGAGGAUGAGAUUGAUUCUUUGGUUGCCAACAUAUUUAGGGUUUUGGAGAUGUUGUGCAUGAGUGAAAUGGGCAGUGCUCCUAAAUAAUAAUAAAAACUUGUUUUCAUAGAGAC
RNAcentral lists this long non-coding RNA (675 nucleotides) under Nicotiana benthamiana. Its description in RNAcentral is "long non-coding RNA (NBEN_LNC004400)". Lineage: Eukaryota; Viridiplantae; Streptophyta; Magnoliopsida; Solanales; Solanaceae. The record is from RNAcentral.